UCUAGAAUAAUUUUCAUUUAGAUAAUUUUGGUUUAUUUGAUUGCAAAAUUUAUUGCCUUAAAGAAAAUACAUUUAAACUUUGGAAACUGAAGGAUAAUUUAAGCACAAAACUAGAAAGUAAAUGUUGUAAACAAAUAAUUAAAACACCUAAUUAAACCAGCAGUGUGAAUCACUUCCUGAUCUAACCAAAGGUGCUCGAAUAUUCUUCCAUCCAAUGGAAAAUUUAUUAAAAUUUCAGCAUUGUCAAACCCUGUAACAAAAAUAUACACAUAUAUGAGAACAAGAACAAACUUAUUGAAAUUAUUUUCCCUUCACCCUAAUAACUUGAUGGUAAUGAUAGUACAAUGAUUCCAGAUUAAAUUGUUUAAAGCAAAGAAACCAAAGUAAAACAAAAUAUUGAAGCACCAUAAAAAAAAAUUCAAAACUAAAAUUUUGAAAUGUUGCAUCAUAUAGCCGACUAACCUAUGAAGUACGGACACUUCGCUAAGUUGUCGUGUCCACGUGUCAGACAC
Molecule: long non-coding RNA, 512 nt
Filed under: Arachis ipaensis
Lineage: Eukaryota; Viridiplantae; Streptophyta; Magnoliopsida; Fabales; Fabaceae
Description: long non-coding RNA (AIPA_LNC002109)
Source: RNAcentral